CUAAAGAAUAAACUGCAUAUGAAGUAAGGAAUAAAAUACAGACAGUAAAUACUGUUAAGUGCAAAAUGCUUGGAUUCAACAAGAAUAUAGAAAAAAUCAAAACAACUUCACCAAAUACUUCAACCAACCAACGAACCAGACAAACAAACGAAAAACCUCUGGUAGAAGCAAGCAGGUACGAGAUGGGCCCAGUCCUGCUGCCUGUACUGGCCCAUGUGCUUCCUUCUCGCCAGCAGGGACCAGGCCUUGAAU
Chinchilla lanigera (long-tailed chinchilla) is the source of this 252-nucleotide long non-coding RNA. RefSeq lists it as uncharacterized. Lineage: Eukaryota; Metazoa; Chordata; Mammalia; Rodentia; Chinchillidae. The record is from RefSeq and is a predicted model, not a curated record. The transcript is spliced from 2 exons.